This 468-nucleotide ribosomal RNA is filed under the name uncultured bacterium. RNAcentral describes it as "partial 16S ribosomal RNA". It matches the Rfam family "Bacterial small subunit ribosomal RNA", at positions 28 to 507 of the family's 1533-position model. The record is from RNAcentral.
GACGAACGCUGGCGGCGUGCUUAACACAUGCAAGUCGAACGGAAAGGCCCUGCUUUUUUGGGGUGCUCGAGUUGCGAACGGGUGAGUAACACGUGAGUAACCUGCCCUUGACUUUGGGAUAACUUCAGGAAACUGGGGCUAUUACCGGAUAGGAGCUCCUGCUGCUUGGUGGGGGUUGGUUAGUUUCGGCGGGUGUGGUUGGAAUCGCCGGUUAUCAGCUUGUUGUUUGGGUAGUGGCUUACCAAGGCCUUGAGGGGUAGCAGGGCUGUGAGGCUUACCGGCGACAUGGGGACAGAAAUAAGACCCAGACUCCUACGGGAGGCAAGAGUGGGGAAGAUAGCACAAUGGGAGGAAGCAUGAUACAGCAAAGCGGUGUGCGGGAUGACAGCCAUCGGGUAGUAAACCGAAUUAGCCUGAGACGAAGCGUGAGUGACGGUAAUGGGUAAAGAAGCACCGGCUAACUACGUG